CGGCGGACGGGUGAGUAACACGUGAGUAACCUGCCUUAGACAUAGGGAUAGCCUCGGGAAACCGGGAUUAAUACCAAAUGAAAUCACAUAUGCACAUGCAUAAAUGAUCAAAGCUCCGGCGGUCUAAGAUGGACUCGCGUCCCAUUAGCUAGUUGGUGAGGUAACGGCCCACCAAGGCGACGAUGGGUAGCCGGCCUGAGAGGGUGAACGGCCACAUUGGAACUGAGAAACGGUCCAAACUCCUACGGGAGGCAGCAGCU
RNAcentral lists this ribosomal RNA (260 nucleotides) under uncultured Peptoniphilus sp. RNAcentral's name for it is "partial 16S ribosomal RNA". It matches the Rfam family "Bacterial small subunit ribosomal RNA", at positions 96 to 355 of the family's 1533-position model. Lineage: Bacteria; Bacillati; Bacillota; Tissierellia; Tissierellales; Peptoniphilaceae. The record is from RNAcentral.